UACGAAGGGUGCAAACGUUGCUCGGAAUUAUUGGGCGUAAAGCGCACGUAGGCGGCUUUGCAAGUCGGAUGUGAAAUCCCUCGGCUUAACCAAGGAAGUGCAUCCGAAACUGCAGAGCUUGAGUACUUAAGAGGAUCGCGGAAUUCCCGGUGUAGAGGUGAAAUUCGUAGAUAUCGGGAGGAACACCAGUGGCGAAGGCGGCGAUCUGGGAAGAUACUGACGCUGAGGUGCGAAAGUGUGGGGAGCAAACAGG
Molecule: ribosomal RNA, 253 nt
Filed under: uncultured bacterium
Lineage: Bacteria
Description: partial 16S ribosomal RNA
Rfam family: Bacterial small subunit ribosomal RNA
Source: RNAcentral